GGCAUGGAGAUGGAGGAAAGAAAGGGAGAAGAGGCAUUGAGAAGUUGCAGUAAGGCAGAUCUGGCAUGAGAAAUCUCAUGCAACCUUGUAGCACAUGCCCACCUUUUCCCUUCUUAUUUUAUCACACAAAAAAAAUUCCCAAUGCCCAUACCUUAUCAGAUAGGAUCUUCUUCCUUAUUUGAAUCAAAUUCAAAUGAAGAAAAAGAGUCCAAAAAGGAGAGAGACUCA
This 228-nucleotide long non-coding RNA is filed under the name Elaeis guineensis (African oil palm). RNAcentral's name for it is "long non-coding RNA (EGUI_LNC057755)". Lineage: Eukaryota; Viridiplantae; Streptophyta; Magnoliopsida; Arecales; Arecaceae. The record is from RNAcentral.